UGAUCAUGGUGGUGUACCUGAAGGUCACUGU
Molecule: non-coding RNA, 31 nt
Filed under: Mus musculus (house mouse)
Lineage: Eukaryota; Metazoa; Chordata; Mammalia; Rodentia; Muridae
Source: RNAcentral